Danio rerio (zebrafish) is the source of this 645-nucleotide non-coding RNA. Lineage: Eukaryota; Metazoa; Chordata; Actinopteri; Cypriniformes; Danionidae. The record is from Ensembl.
AACCUCGCAGCAACUACCUUGGAUUUUUUUCAGGAAGCAGUAGAGACAUUUGGCUUUCCUCUCAGGGUACGAGGUGAUCAGGGGGUUGAGAAUGUGGAUGUGGCUCGCCUUAUGUUUACCGUUCGUGGAACUGGAAAGGGCAGCUUCAUUUCUGGAAAGAGCAUACACAAUCAGCGUAUUGAGAGGCUGUGGAGAGACGUCUGGACAUCAGUAACAAAUGUUUACUAUGAUGUUUUACAUGGUUUGGAAGAAGGUGGCUACCUUGACAUUUCUGACCAUACUCACCUCUUCUGCUGCCACUAUGUAUUUCUUCCACGGCUUCAAGAUGAUCUUAAUCUUUUUCGAAACACUUGGGAUAAUCACACAAUACGCACAGAGGGUUGUAUGACUCCUAACCAGUUGUGGGUGAUGGGAAGCAUACGCAGUCCUGUACAAGAAUCUGACAUAGAGGGAUUGAGAAUACCCCACAUUGACUGGGAAAGUAGUGGCCUGUGUGUUGAUGGACACUCCAGCAUUGUUGUGCCUCCGACAGGAUGUCCCCUGACUGAGGAGCAACUGGUACUGCUCCAAGAAACUAUACAUCCCAAAAGACCUUCACAGACCUUUGGCUGGGACAUAUAUUUAGCUGCACUUGAUUUUUGCCAA